Molecule: microRNA, 23 nt
Filed under: Rosa chinensis
Lineage: Eukaryota; Viridiplantae; Streptophyta; Magnoliopsida; Rosales; Rosaceae
Description: sRNA RchiOBHm_Chr4g0390805
Source: RNAcentral
UUAUACAUAGAAACAACCGUGGA